UGGGCUUUUAUAUAAGCUAAGCUUCUAACUUAGUAAGGCGAAAAAUUUUCGCGAGUCCUA
RNAcentral lists this transfer RNA (60 nucleotides) under Flustra foliacea (greater hornwrack). RNAcentral's name for it is "tRNA-Ser". The record is from RNAcentral. Lineage: Eukaryota; Metazoa; Bryozoa; Gymnolaemata; Cheilostomatida; Flustridae.